CCAGGUUUAGGCGGAGGCCUGAAGCAGCAGCAACCAGGUGGCGCAGCACAGAAUGGCUUUGGACCAGGCUAUGGAGGGAACGGAAAGCCCCAGAAGCCAGGAUUCGGGAACGGGGCCCUCCCGGGAGCAGGAGCCCAGCCAGG
Myotis davidii is the source of this 143-nucleotide long non-coding RNA. RefSeq lists it as uncharacterized. The record is from RefSeq and is a predicted model, not a curated record. The transcript is spliced from 4 exons. NCBI's taxonomy places the organism in Eukaryota, Metazoa, Chordata, Mammalia, Chiroptera, Vespertilionidae.